RNAcentral lists this ribosomal RNA (451 nucleotides) under uncultured bacterium. RNAcentral describes it as "partial 16S ribosomal RNA". It matches the Rfam family "Bacterial small subunit ribosomal RNA", at positions 28 to 507 of the family's 1533-position model. The record is from RNAcentral.
AGCGAACGCUGGCGGCAUGCCUAACACAUGCAAGUCGCACGGGGGGGCUUCGGCCUCCCAGUGGCGGACGGGUGAGGAACGCGUAGGGACCUGUCGAGGGGUGGGGGAUAACCGCGGGAAACUGCGGCUAAUACCGCAUGACGCCGCGGCGUGACAGCCGGGGCCAAAGGCGAAAGCCGCCCGCCGAGGGGCCUGCGUCCGAUUAGCUGGUUGGCGGGGUAGCGGCCCACCAAGGCGUCGAUCGGUAGCUGGUCUGAGAGGGUGAUCAGCCACACCGGGACUGAGACACGGCCCGGACUCCUACGGGAGGCAGCAGUGGGGAAUAUUGGACAAUGGGCGCAAGCCUGAUCCAGCAAUGCCGCGUGGGUGAAGAAGGUCUUCGGAUUGUAAAGCCCUUUCGGCGGGGACGAUGGUGACGGUACCCGCAGUAGAAGCCCCGGCUAACUUCGUG